Long non-coding RNA from Coffea eugenioides, 1611 nucleotides. RefSeq lists it as uncharacterized. The transcript is spliced from 3 exons. The record is from RefSeq and is a predicted model, not a curated record. Lineage: Eukaryota; Viridiplantae; Streptophyta; Magnoliopsida; Gentianales; Rubiaceae.
UCACAUUUUCGUCGAUUGCCACAUUACGACCACUCCAAAUUGUUCAAUUAUUUUCCCCCCUUGUCUUUCCCCUAAGAACUAUUAGUCUCUUUGAUUAGCUUCAAUUAUUCCGGAAUUCCACAAUGGCUAACUUCAAUCCGUACUUCGCUUCCUCCUCUUCUACCUCACGCUCUGCAGAAGACGAAGAGGCUAUUCUUAACAGUGCCGCUAUGCUACUUUUUUCACUGGAAGCAGAAUUUUACGAUGGUCCUCUUAUCAAAAUACCUUGUCGCAAUUCUGACAUGCCUGGUUGGAAGUGGGUUCAAGAGUUAAUAACAGGUCACCCACUCCGUAUUUUAGAGAACUGUCGGAUUACUGUUGACAAUUUCUUGAGGCUUUGUGAAGUUCUGGUAGGCAAUAACUAUGUCCCGUAAAAUCCACACAAGCAUGUGACGAUCGAGGAAUUGCUAGCCAUGACUUUAGUUAUGUUAAGUCAUAGCACGCGAACUCGUGUAGUAGCCGAAAGAUUCCAACAUUCAACGGAAACCAUCCAUAGAAAUGUAGCAGAAGUGCUGUUGGGGUUAUGUCGAUUUGCACAACGAAUUAUUCGUCCCAAACAAAGUGAUGAAGUGCAUCCAAAAAUACGGUAUAGCACAAAGUACUAUCCUUGGUUCAAGGACUGUUUAGGUGCUUUGGACGGCACACAUAUCCCAGCUUCAGUUCCCUCAAUAGAGCAGAUGGCCUACACAAAUAGGCAUGGGACUCAAAGCCAAACAUAUUAGCUGUAUGUGACCAUGAUAUGCGAUUCAUUUAUGUCUAUGCCGGAUGGGAAGGUAGCGCACACGAUGCACGAGUGUUAGAAAGUGCAAUGAGAAUGCACACCGACUUCCCAUUUCCCCCACAAGGUAAGUUCUACUUGGUUGACGCGGCUUAUAAGAUGCAGCCUGGGUUUUUAGCGCCGUUCAAGGGAGGACGUAACACAAGUGUUGGACAAGGACGUGGUCGAGCCCAAUGACCGAAAGAGCUAUUUAAUACUCGUCACUCUCAACUUCGUAAUGUAAUUGAACGCUCUUUCGGUGUAUUGAAGCAACGAUUUGCCUAUUUAAGGGGGCCGGUUCCAUAUUCAUUUAUGCAAACACAAAUCAAUGUGGUAAUUGCAUGUUGUGCACUACACAAUUUUCUUAGGAAAAAUUAGCCUUCGGAUGAUCACUUCAUGAUGUAUGAACAAGAUGAUGUGCUAUUCGAAGGCGAAGGUGGAGCUCCUCCAUAUCCACAGAUACAACCAUUGACGUCCCCGCAAGAAAUUGAAGAAUGGAAGGGAAUGAGAGAAGAAAUGGCCAAUCAAAUGCAUGCCGCGUUGCGAAGACGGAGACAUUAGAUGAAUCAAAAUCUCCAUGGCAAAUACAAGGAAGGCGAAGUAGUUACUUCCUCCCUACACAUGUAACUGGAUAUGGGGUGCGGUGGAUAUAUCCAAACGAAUGCAUAUCUCAUGUUUCUCGUGUGUAAUAAGAUGCUUUAAUUCUAGUAGAAGAAAUAAUCAAGUGAUGUUACAAUGGGGUACUUGCACAUCAUGCGUUUCAUGCACGAUGUGUAACAACUUGUAUUUUUGUACUUGGAUUUGUUUUGAAAUAA